UAAGCCUCUACUAAGGUUUUGCUUCCUUUC
RNAcentral lists this non-coding RNA (30 nucleotides) under Mus musculus (house mouse). Lineage: Eukaryota; Metazoa; Chordata; Mammalia; Rodentia; Muridae. The record is from RNAcentral.